AGCAGCCGCGGUAAUUCCAGCUCCAAUAGCGUAUAUUAAAGUUGUUGCAGUUAAAAAGCUCGUAGUUGAAUUUCGGAAUCAAUUUAUUGGUCGUGCAAUAGUACGUACUGAUAUUAUUGGUUUCUCCCUUCUGAUGAACCAUGAUGUCAUUAAUUUGGUGUUAUGGGGAAUCAGGACUGUUACUUUGAAAAAUUAGAGUGUUUAAAGCAGGCUCACGCUUGAAUACAUUAGCAUGGAAUAAUGAAAUAGGACGUUUGAUUCUAUUUUGUUGGUUUCUAGGAUCGACGUAAUGAUUAAUAGGGAUAGUUGGGGGCAUUAGUAUUCAAUUGUCAGAGGUGAAAUUCUUGGAUUUAUUGAAGACUGACUACUGCGAAAGCAUUUGCCAAGGAUGUUUUCAUUAAUCAAGAACGAAAGUUAGGGGAUCGAAGACGAUCAGAUACCGUCGUAGUCUUAACCAUAAACUAUGCCGACUAGGGAUCGGAUGAUGUUAAUUUUUAAUGACUCAUUC
This 508-nucleotide ribosomal RNA is filed under the name uncultured Glomus. RNAcentral describes it as "SSU rRNA". It matches the Rfam family "Eukaryotic small subunit ribosomal RNA", at positions 569 to 1081 of the family's 1831-position model. The record is from RNAcentral. Lineage: Eukaryota; Fungi; Glomeromycota; Glomeromycetes; Glomerales; Glomeraceae.